RNAcentral lists this long non-coding RNA (385 nucleotides) under Homo sapiens (human). RNAcentral's name for it is "HSALNT0333321". The record is from RNAcentral. Lineage: Eukaryota; Metazoa; Chordata; Mammalia; Primates; Hominidae.
GCGCUACCGUUGCGCCACGAGGUCUCCGGGACACCUACGUUUUAUUUACCUGUCAAUCUGAUUCAUGAAAAUAAUUUCGGUACUGGUGAAGACCAGGCAGCUAUUAACAGAUACAAAAUAGUGCCUAGCUGCUUCCCUCUCGAAAUACAUUCUGUUGAAGGUCAGUCGCUUUGGAAUGGGGUUGUAGAGAGGAGGUAGCGAAGAGGGAAUAAUGAGGAUCCUUCCUCUCCCAACUCCUCAUUAAGGAACUCUGAUCAAGAUCCAGUGAAGAACUCCAUGAUCCUAGAGCCAAAGCCGCUCAAUGAUCUCUUGGUGAUCACUGCAUUCAGAUUGACUUCCAGUGCCACACUGCAGAAUUGAACCACCGAGGGAUCUGCUGACUCUU